Molecule: ribosomal RNA, 483 nt
Filed under: uncultured bacterium
Lineage: Bacteria
Description: partial 16S ribosomal RNA
Rfam family: Bacterial small subunit ribosomal RNA
Source: RNAcentral
AUUGAACGCUGGCGGCAGGCCCAACACAUGCAAGUCGAGCGGAUGAAGGGAGCUUGCUCCUGGAUUCAGCGGCGGACGGGUGAGUAAUGCCUAGGAAUCUGCCUGGUAGUGGGGAUAACGUCCGGAAACGGGCGCUAAUACCGCAUACGUCCUGAGGGAGAAAGUGGGGGAUCUUCGGACCUCACGCUAUCAGAUGAGCCUAGGUCGGAUUAGCUAGUUGGUGGGGUAAAGGCCUACCAAGGCGACGAUCCGUAACUGGUCUGAGAGGAUGAUCAGUCACACUGGAACUGAGACACGGUCCAGACUCCUACGGGAGGCAGCAGUGGGGAAUAUUGGACAAAGGGCGAAAGCCUGAUCCAGCCAUGCCGCGUGUGUGAAGAAGGUCUUCGGAUUGUAAAGCACUUUAAGUUGGGAGGAAGGGCAGUAAGUUAAUACCUUGCUGUUUUGACGUUACCAACAGAAUAAGCACCGGCUAACUUCGUG